GGCUUGGCGACUGUAGCAUA
Molecule: microRNA, 20 nt
Filed under: Ciona intestinalis (vase tunicate)
Lineage: Eukaryota; Metazoa; Chordata; Ascidiacea; Phlebobranchia; Cionidae
Description: cin-miR-4057-5p
Source: miRBase by way of RNAcentral